This 255-nucleotide ribosomal RNA is filed under the name uncultured bacterium. RNAcentral describes it as "partial 16S ribosomal RNA". It matches the Rfam family "Bacterial small subunit ribosomal RNA", at positions 524 to 776 of the family's 1533-position model. The record is from RNAcentral.
UACGGGGGGGGGCAAGCGUUGUUCGGAUUUACUGGGCGUAAAGGGCGCGUAGGCGGUCGUUCAAGUCGCGUGUGAAAGCCCCCGGCUCAACUGGGGAGGGUCACGCGAUACUGAUCGACUCGAAGGCAGGAGAGGGAAGUGGAAUUCCCGGUGUAGUGGUGAAAUGCGUAGAUAUCGGGAGGAACACCAGUGGCGGAAGGCGACUUCCUGGCCUGUUCUUGACGCUGAGGCGCGAAAGCUAGGGGAGCAAACGGG